GAAAAAACGACCGUGAUGGAAGGUGACAAGCAACUGCACGCAGCACACUAAUGGCACAAAAGAAUAAUUUUAGUUGCCAAAUUUCAAAGUCAGAGUUAGGGAUUUUUGACAUUUUGAUGUGAAACCAUCAGAGAUUCCUUAAUUUUUAUAUAUAAUCUUCAACAGCACAGGCAGCAGCAGCACACUUCUGCUACCACAGAAUUUCUACAGGCCUUAAUCAAGCUAUUGUUAUUAUUAUUAUGACUAUUGAAGCUUUUAAAUAAGACAUGUUUGGUUAGAUUUGCAUCAC
This 289-nucleotide unclassified non-coding RNA is filed under the name Hevea brasiliensis (rubber tree). The record is from RNAcentral. Lineage: Eukaryota; Viridiplantae; Streptophyta; Magnoliopsida; Malpighiales; Euphorbiaceae.